GGGGACGUAGCUCAGCUGGUAGAGCGCCGCGUUCGCAAUGCGGAGGCCGGGGGUUCGAAUCCCCCCGUCUCCACCA
This 76-nucleotide transfer RNA is filed under the name Chloroflexota bacterium. Its description in RNAcentral is "Chloroflexi bacterium tRNA-Ala". It matches the Rfam family "tRNA". Rfam says of the family: Transfer RNA (tRNA) molecules are approximately 80 nucleotides in length. Their secondary structure includes four short double-helical elements and three loops (D, anti-codon, and T loops). Further hydrogen bonds mediate the characteristic L-shaped molecular structure. tRNAs have two regions of fundamental functional importance: the anti-codon, which is responsible for specific mRNA codon recognition, and the 3' end, to which the tRNAs corresponding amino acid is attached (by aminoacyl-tRNA synthetases). tRNAs cope with the degeneracy of the genetic code in two manners: having more than one tRNA (with a specific anti-codon) for a particular amino acid; and 'wobble' base-pairing, i.e. permitting non-standard base-pairing at the 3rd anti-codon position. RNAcentral also lists the same sequence under 1 other name. The record is from RNAcentral. Lineage: Bacteria; Bacillati; Chloroflexota.